AGACGUCUACAUUAGAUACCCGUGUAGUCCCAGCCGUAAACUAUGCGCGUUAGGUGUAUCGGUGACCACGUGUUACCGAGGUGCCGAAGGGAAACCGUGAAACGUGCCGCCUGGGAAGUACGGUCGCAAGGCUGAAACUUAAAGGAAUUGGCGGGGAGCACCACAACAGGUGGAGCCUGCGGUUUAAUUGGACUCAACGCCGGGAAGCUCACCGGAUAGGACAGCAGAAUGAUUGCCGGGCUGAAGACCCUGCAUGACUAGCUG
This 264-nucleotide ribosomal RNA is filed under the name uncultured archaeon. RNAcentral describes it as "partial 16S ribosomal RNA". It matches the Rfam family "Archaeal small subunit ribosomal RNA", at positions 717 to 982 of the family's 1478-position model. The record is from RNAcentral.